AUGUACCGCGCGUACACUCCGGUUCUGAGCGCGCCGUCCGCGCCCAACUGACAGCUGCUCGCUACGUUUUGUUAGCG
RNAcentral lists this small RNA (77 nucleotides) under Xanthomonas citri. Its description in RNAcentral is "sX9 sRNA". It matches the Rfam family "Xanthomonas sRNA sX9". The record is from RNAcentral. RNAcentral also lists the same sequence under 1 other name. Lineage: Bacteria; Pseudomonadati; Pseudomonadota; Gammaproteobacteria; Lysobacterales; Lysobacteraceae.